AGACCAACGAGGUUAAGAAAGGAACCUUCUCUCCGCAGAACAAAGAAAGAGGCCUAGAAACCAAUGAAGCAGCCGACACAGUUAUCCCUGGACUGAUUAAGCUCUUGCUUUUCGCCAUGCAACUCCGAGAAGGGGAUGGUUCCUUUUUUGAUAAUUGUGGAAAAAGCAAUCUCUCCAAAGCUGGAGUGGGACCCAUUUGCUAAAUGCAAAGGAGCCUGGUACCUUUGCUAAUAUGGCACUGGACAAUUGACCUCAUUAUAAGCUCAUUAUCAUUUUCUUCAUCUUCAUGGAUGACGUCUCCUCUCAGGUGUACAUUCCACCAGCUUGUUGGUUCCAUGAUAUCACCUCUGUUCAAUGGCCAUGCUUUUACUCUGUGUUGUAGAGUUGAUAUAUUAAUCUGUUGUGAUUGUUAUGUAUUUUAUAUUCUUGUAUUUUAUAUUGUGUAUUUUAUACCGCUGUAUUUUAUUGUAUGUUGUUGGGCUUGGGCUUUUUGUUGGGCAUGGGAGCAGCCCUGAGUCUACUCGGGGAGAUGGGGCGGGAUACAAAAAUAAAGAAGUUGUUGUUGUUGUUGUUAUUAUUAUUUCGGUUCUCUGGCCAAUCUUGAAGUGUUGUUUCUCCGAAAAACACCUGGAGGAGGCAAUGUCAGAGGUGCUCUCAGCCAAUAAGGGACGGGAGUGGGUGUUUUGAGUAGCUGUCAAACUGUAUAAGAUGUCUUGCUUUCUCUGUGUGUUAUAUGAGGGUUGAAUGAAAAGUAAUGCCUCCACCUUCGUAACUCCUCAACCAAUGGCAGUCCUGGUCUGAGGCAGGUCCUGGCUUGUUCAGGAGACUCUCCUUGACAGUUCCAUUUGGUGGGAAGCCUUAGCAUUGAACGGUUCUGUUGUUAAAGUGCGAAGUAUGGAGCCCUGCGCAGACGGUCAGUCAAUGCGACUUAAGCAACAUGCAGUCAUUGAAUUCUUGACAGCAGAAGGUGUCACCCCAAAGGAGAUUCAUCAGAGGAUGCAAGCUGUUUAUGGGAAUUGUGUGGCUGCGAGGACGAUGCAUCAUUGGGCGAGUAAGUUUAAAGAUGUUGAGGUGAGAACAUCUGACUCGUGUGACAAACAAAGAGUUGGACGUCCUGUGACAGCAACCACUGAGUUUCACAAGCAAAAGGUGGACAGAUUGAUUCAGGACGAUCGUCGUAUCACUCAGAGAGAAAUUUCAAGCAUAAUUGGCAUUUCACAAGAACGUGUGAAAGAACAAGAACAUUUCACAAGAACAUUAUUGCUUUGCUUGGCUAUCAGAACAUCUGUGCACGAUGGGUCCUGUGAGACGCUGGUUGCUUAAACAGAGUGUCGACUUCUUCUGUGACAGCUUCGGAGAAUUUGUUCAUCGUUGGCAGAAAUGUAUCCAAUUGUCUGGUGAUUAUGUGGAAAAAUGAAUAGUGAUAGUUAAAGGACACAUUCUAUGGAUUAUUUCUGCAUUUGAUUUAUUAAAAUAUUCCCAUACAAACCCAAGUAAUGAAGGUGGAAGCAUUACUUUUCAUUCAACCCUCCUAUGUUUGUACUUUGAAGCAUCUGCUUGUACUUGCAUCCAUUUUGGCUGAAUUGAAUAAACCUCUGUGGUUUGUCUUCAA
Molecule: long non-coding RNA, 1612 nt
Organism: Anolis carolinensis (green anole)
Lineage: Eukaryota; Metazoa; Chordata; Lepidosauria; Squamata; Anolidae
Exons: 4
Source: RefSeq, a predicted model, not a curated record